GAUGAACGCUGGCGGCGUGCCUAAUACAUGCAAGUCGAGCGAACAGACGAGGAGCUUGCUCCUCUGACGUUAGCGGCGGACGGGUGAGUAACACGUGGAUAACCUACCUAUAAGACUGGGAUAACUUCGGGAAACCGGAGCUAAUACCGGAUAAUAUAUUGAACCGCAUGGUUCAAUAGUGAAAGACGGUUUUGCUGUCACUUAUAGAUGGAUCCGCGCCGCAUUAGCUAGUUGGUAAGGUAACGGCUUACCAAGGCAACGAUGCGUAGCCGACCUGAGAGGGUGAUCGGCCACACUGGAGCUGAGACACGGUCCAGACUCCUAAGGGAGGCAGCAGUAGGGAAUCUUCCGCAAAGGGCGAAAGCCUGACGGAGCAACGCCGCGUGAGUGAUGAAGGUCUUCGGAUCGUAAAACUCUGUUAUUAGGGAAGAACAAAUGUGUAAGUAACUAUGCACGUCUUGACGGUACCUAAUCAGAAAGCCACGGCUAACUACGUG
This 497-nucleotide ribosomal RNA is filed under the name uncultured bacterium. RNAcentral's name for it is "partial 16S ribosomal RNA". It matches the Rfam family "Bacterial small subunit ribosomal RNA", at positions 28 to 507 of the family's 1533-position model. The record is from RNAcentral.